GUGGGGAAUCUUCCGCAAUGGACGAAAGUCUGACGGAGCAACGCCGCGUGAGUGAUGAAGGUCUUCGGAUUGUAAAGCUCUGUUAAUCGGGACGAAAGAGCCUAGUGUGAAUAAUGCUAGGAAGUGACGGUACCGGAAUAGAAAGCCACGGCUAACUACGUGCCAGCAGCCGCGGUAAUACGUAGGUGGCAAGCGUUGUCCGGAAUUAUUGGGCGUAAAGCGCGCGCAGGCGGAUCUGCCAGUCUGUCUUAAAAGUUCGGGGCUUAACCCCGUGAUGGGAUUGAAACUACAGAUCUAGAGUAACGGAGAAGAAAGUGGAAUUCCUAGUGUAGCGGUGAAAUGCGUAGAUAUUAGGAAGAACACCAGGGGCGAAGGCGACUUUCUGGACGACAACUGACGCUGAGGCGCGAAAGCCAGGGGAGCAAACGGGAUUAGAAACCCGAGUAGUCC
RNAcentral lists this ribosomal RNA (450 nucleotides) under uncultured bacterium. RNAcentral's name for it is "partial 16S ribosomal RNA". It matches the Rfam family "Bacterial small subunit ribosomal RNA", at positions 354 to 796 of the family's 1533-position model. The record is from RNAcentral.